Long non-coding RNA from Lampris incognitus (smalleye Pacific opah), 230 nucleotides. RefSeq lists it as uncharacterized. NCBI's taxonomy places the organism in Eukaryota, Metazoa, Chordata, Actinopteri, Lampriformes, Lampridae. The transcript is spliced from 3 exons. The record is from RefSeq and is a predicted model, not a curated record.
GUCAAAGAACGAAUCUACACAGCUAACGACGUCAGCCUUUCAAGAGCCAAUGAAGUCAAGGUGUCUUUUUCACAAAAAAUGAAAGAACUAUUUCAAGGCUCUCAUAAAGUCACAACCGAGAAGACAGAAGCCUUUACAGUCCCAGCAGGAGCCGCUGUCGCUUACAGCCUCGUGUACAUCACUGUUAUAGAAGAAAGAAUUAAAAUGCAGAUGCACUGUUUGGAUACCAG